CGCACAAGAUGGCGAACACGCAGAUGACAACUUCGUUUUAGACGGCUGGGAAACAGACGUUCGUUUCUUGUUGCAAUCGCGUUAUGCUUUGGCGCAGAGGGACAUCCAGGAUACCAAAUACGCCAAGUAUCAGCGUAUACUGAAACCCAGUUCAUUUCAGAAGCCAUUUACAAUUCAAGAAGAGUUAUGGAAAGAUGUACGACUUAUUCGUCACUACAAGUCCAAAAAGUUCGCAUGCGCUUCACGUCAAGCUGCGGAGGACAACCCACCCAUUCGUCUAUCUGAUGUUUCUGUCCUGGUGUUUGACGAGGCUCACCACUGCAGCGGAAACCACCCGUACAACAAGAUUAUGAAGUACUACAAAAAGACGCCCAACCGGUUUAAACCUGUUGUGCUCGGUCUCACAGCCUCGCCGGGCGGAGAACUUAUGGAACUUAUGAACUUAAGUAUGGAAAUACGCAAUUCUUCACGCGAAGUAAAAUGACAUGAUCUGAGUUAAUGUCAACCAAUUAAGAGGCCUUCUCCGAUUGGACAAUUCUUCACGCGGAAUGUUAGAAUCGCCGAAAUGUUUUUAGGUCACAGAAUGUCAAAAUCGCUCGAUGUAAGCUCUAGUAGCUUAGAUACAAGGUGUACAACAAAUUAUUUCUGUACAAUUUCAGUGGUCAAUUUAUUACAUUUCUCGUCAUUCAAUUUUAAUGUGCUCUAAGUACGAUUUUCUAAGGGUAUAACUGCAUAAAAUGUAGCAGGUCUGAAAGCGAACUCACCCCGUGAUCCUGAAAUGAAUCUUUUGUCAGAUCAGGGAAUCAGAUAUUUUGAUUAAUGCAGUGUUAAUAGAGGAAUAGCGAGUAUUCACCCUUGCGAUGACGUCACGGUAGAAUUCAACAUCAAGAGCGGGUCGCUCUGAUGUUCGUCGGGUCUCAAAACCAUUUCGCUCUAUGAACUAGGAUAAAUGUCUCGCUCGUUUUCUUCAGAGUGCAAAUUUGUGCUUUUUGUGCUGAGAAUCAAUUCCUUACCAAGAAAAUUCUUUCAGCAUCCUGUUUUAAGAACAUUUAAAGAAGGCGACAGUUUCCAGUUCAGUAGAACUUAAGGUAAAAGUAUUGAUUUAGAUAAAUUUUGCCAAAAAGCCCUCUGAGUUUUGUUAAAUAUUUAGUCCAGUGAGAAAUAAGCACGAUGCUGCUGAAAAUCAGCCUAUGUGAAUGCUCAACACAGCCAUUUUCUAACGCUAUAGAAUGAAAUUAAAGUGAGUGAAAUAACUUUGCUUUGGGACGAAAAUAGGGGUGUGGGAGAAUUUUUGGCCGCGGAUGUAAUUUUGAUUGCAUUAUGCCUGUUUGAAGCAUGCAGCUAACUCAAUAAAGGGGUGAAACCUUGUGGAA
Stylophora pistillata is the source of this 1373-nucleotide long non-coding RNA. Lineage: Eukaryota; Metazoa; Cnidaria; Anthozoa; Scleractinia; Pocilloporidae. The record is from RefSeq and is a predicted model, not a curated record.